CGAACCUGGGUCACCGGAUUACGAGACCACUGCUUUACCGACUGAGCUAUCGUGCCUCCUGUGACCUUUGAUGAUAUUUGUACUGCAAUUGAAUAUCUUCAUUUACGUUCUUUGCCUCAAGUAGAUGCAUGUACUUCAGUUGCUGCUGCCUAUUCAUACGUCUAUACGUCCAUACUCAUCAUCAUUUUCAUCUCCUUCUGUAUUUCAUACAUUUUUAGAUAGAGUUUUUGAAUUCAAACUGCCAAACUGCACCAGCAACUUUUGUGAAAACUGGGUUAGCUGCACAAACCCGCCCUAUUAUCUCCCUCCUUAUCACUUUCAUCCUUUACACUAUAGGUAUUUAAGUAGAGUUUGUGAGAUCAAGCUGCCAGACUGCACCAGCAACUUUCAUGUAUGUGAAAACUGGGCCGGCUGCACAAGCUUGUCCUACAACCAUAGUCAUCAUCACUUUUAUCCUUUACUUGGGUAGAGUUUGUGAAACCAAACUGCCAGACUGCCCCGGAAUCCUCUGUGAAGAUUGGACUAGCAGCACAGACUUAUUUAUCAUUAUAUACCUUUUCCCUGCUUCAUGUGUAUUCAGGUAGAGUUUGUGAAACCAAACUGCCAGACUGCCCCGGAAUCCUCUGUGAAGAUUGGACUAGCAGCACAGACUUAUUUAUCAUUAUAUACCUUUUCCCUGCUUCAUGUGUAUUCAGGUAGAGUUUGUGAAACCAAACUGCCAGACUGCCCCGGAAUCCUCUGUGAAGAUUGGACUAGCAGCACAGACUUAUUUAUCAUUAUAUACCUUUUCCCUGCUUCAUGUGUAUUCAGGUAGAGUUUGUGAAACCAAACUGCCAGACUGCCCCGGAAUCCUCUGUGAAGAUUGGACUAGCAGCACAGACUUAUUUAUCAUUAUAUACCUUUUCCCUGCUUCAUGUGUAUUCAGGUAGAGUUUGUGAAACCAAACUGCCAGACUGCCCCGGAAUCCUCUGUGAAGAUUGGACUAGCAGCACAGACUUAUUUAUCAUUAUAUACCUUUUCCCUGCUUCAUGUGUAUUCAGGUAGAGUUUGUGAAACCAAUCUGCCCGACUGCCCCGGAAUCCUCUGUGAAGAUUGGACUAGCAGCACAGACUUAUUUAUCAUUAUAUACCUUUUCCCUGCUUCAUGUGUAUUCAGGUAGAGUUUGUGAAACCAAACUGCCAGACUGCCCCGGAAUCCUCUGUGAAGAUUGGACUAGCAGCACAGACUUAUUUAUCAUUAUAUACCUUUUCCCUGCUUCAUGUGUAUUCAGGUAGAGUUUGUGAAACCAAUCUGCCCGACUGCCCCGGAAUCCUCUGUGAAGAUUGGACUAGCAGCACAGACUUAUUUAUCAUUAUAUACCUUUUCCCUGCUUCAUGUGUAUUCAGGUAGAGUUUGUGAAACCAAACUGCCAGACUGCCCCGGAAUCCUCUGUGAAGAUUGGACUAGCAGCACAGACUUAUUUAUCAUUAUAUACCUUUUCCCUGCUUCAUGUGUAUUCAGGUAGAGUUUGUGAAACCAAUCUGCCCGACUGCCCCGGAAUCCUCUGUGAAGAUUGGACUAGCAGCACAGACUUAUUUAUCAUUAUAUACCUUUUCCCUGCUUCAUGUGUAUUCAGGUAGAGUUUGUGAAACCAAACUGCCAGACUGCCCCGGAAUCCUCUGUGAAGAUUGGACUAGCAGCACAGACUUAUUUAUCAUUAUAUACCUUUUCCCUGCUUCAUGUGUAUUCAGGUAGAGUUUGUGAAACCAAUCUGCCCGACUGCCCCGGAAUCCUCUGUGAAGAUUGGACUAGCAGCACAGACUUAUUUAUCAUUAUAUACCUUUUCCCUGCUUCAUGUGUAUUCAGGUAGAGUUUGUGAAACCAAACUGCCAGACUGCCCCGGAAUCCUCUGUGAAGAUUGGACUAGCAGCACAGACUUAUUUAUCAUUAUAUACCUUUUCCCUGCUUCAUGUGUAUUCAGGUAGAGUUUGUGAAACCAAUCUGCCCGACUGCCCCGGAAUCCUCUGUGAAGAUUGGACUAGCAGCACAGACUUAUUUAUCAUUAUAUACCUUUUCCCUGCUUCAUGUGUAUUCAGGUAGAGUUUGUGAAACCAAACUGCCAGACUGCCCCGGAAUCCUCUGUGAAGAUUGGACUAGCAGCACAGACUUAUUUAUCAUUAUAUACCUUUUCCCUGCUUCAUGUGUAUUCAGGUAGAGUUUGUGAAACCAAUCUGCCCGACUGCCCCGGAAUCCUCUGUGAAGAUUGGACUAGCAGCACAGACUUAUUUAUCAUUAUAUACCUUUUCCCUGCUUCAUGUGUAUUCAGGUAGAGUUUGUGAAACCAAUCUGCCCGACUGCACCGGAAUCCUCUGUGAAAAUGGGGCUAGCAGCACAGACUUAUUUAUCAUUAUAUACCUUUUCCCUGCUUCAUGUGUAUUCAGGUAGAGUUUGUGAAACCAAUCUGCCCGACUGCACCGGAAUCCUCUGUGAAAAUGGGGCUAGCAGCACAGACUUAUUUAUCAUUAUAUACCUUUUCCCUGCUUCAUGUGUAUUCAGGUAGAGUUUGUGAAACCAAUCUGCCCGACUGCACCGGAAUCCUCUGUGAAGAUUGGACUAGCAGCACAGACUUAUUUAUCAUUAUAUACCUUUUCCCUGCUUCAUGUGUAUUCAGGUAGAGUUUGUGAAACCAAUCUGCCCGACUGCACCGGAAUCCUCUGUGAAGAUUGGACUAGCAGCACAGACUUAUUUAUCAUUAUAUACCUUUUCCCUGCUUCAUGUGUAUUCAGGUAGAGUUUGUGAAACCAAUCUGCCCGACUGCACCGGAAUCCUCUGUGAAGAUUGGACUAGCAGCACAGACUUAUUUAUCAUUAUAUACCUUUUCCCUGCUUCAUGUGUAUUCAGGUAGAGUUUGUGAAACCAAACUGCCAGACUGCCCCGGAAUCCUCCGUGAAAAUGGGGCUAGCAGCACAGACUUAUUUAUCAUUAUAUACCUUUUCCCUGCUUCAUGUGUACUCAGGUAAAGUUUGUGAGACCAAACUGCCAGACUGCCCCGGAAUCCUCCGUGAAAAUGGGGCUAGCAGCACAGACUUAUUUAUCAUUAUAUACCUUUUCCCUGCUUCAUGUGUAUUCAGGUAGAGUUUGUGAAACCAAUCUACCAGACUGCCCCGGAAUCCUCCGUGAAAAUGGGGCUAGCAGCACAGACUUAUUUAUCAUUAUAUACCUUUUCCCUGCUUCAUGUGUAUUCAGGUAAAGUUUGUGAGACCAAACUGCCAGACUGCCCCAGAAUCCUCUGUGAAGAUUGGGCUAGCAGCACAGACUUAUUUAUCAUUAUAUACCUUUUCCCUGCUUCAUGUGUAUUCAGGUAGAGUUUGUGAAACCAAUCUGCCCGACUGCACCGGAAUCCUCUGUGAAGAUUGGACUAGCAGCACAGACUUAUUUAUCAUUAUAUACCUUUUCCCUGCUUCAUGUGUAUUCAGGUAGAGUUUGUGAAACCAAUCUGCCCGACUGCACCGGAAUCCUCUGUGAAGAUUGGACUAGCAGCACAGACUUAUUUAUCAUUAUAUACCUUUUCCCUGCUUCAUGUGUAUUCAGGUAGAGUUUGUGAAACCAAUCUGCCCGACUGCACCGGAAUCCUCUGUGAAGAUUGGACUAGCAGCACAGACUUAUUUAUCAUUAUUUACCUUUUCCCUGCUUCAUGUGUAUUCAGGUAGAGUUUGUGAAACCAAUCUGCCCGACUGCACCGGAAUCCUCUGUGAAGAUUGGACUAGCAGCACAGACUUAUUUAUCAUUAUAUACCUUUUCCCUGCUUCAUGUGUACUUCGGGUAAAGUUUGUGAGACCAAACUACCAGACUGCCCCAGAAUCCUCUGUGAAGAUUGGGCUAGCAGCACAGACUUAUUUAUCAUUAUAUACCUUUUCCCUGCUUCAUGUGUACUCAGGUAAAGUUUGUGAGACCAAACUGCCCGACUGCCCCGGAAUCCACUGUGAAAAUGGGGCUAGCAUCACAAACUUAUUUUUCAUUAGCACUACCCCCACUUUAGAUGUAUUCAGGUAGGGUUUGUGAGACCAAUCUGCCCAACUGCGCCAGCAACCUAUUUGAAACAGGAUCAACUUCACAAACUUAUUUAUCAUUAGUACUACCCCUACUUCAUAUGUAUUCAGGAAGGGUUUGUGAAACCAAACUGCCAGACUGCCCCAGAAUCCACUGUGAAAAUGGGGCUAGCAUCACAAACUUAUUUUUCAUUAGUUCUACCCCUACAGUGUACUUCAGACGUAUUCAGGUAGAGUUUGCGAGACCAAUCUGCCAGCAACCUAUUUGAAACAGGAUCAACUUCACAAACUUAUUCAUCAUUAGUUCUAUCCCUACUUAGGAAGUAUUCAGGUAGAGUUUGUGAAAAUAUAAACUGCCAGACUAUGCCAGUAGCCCGUGUCAAAACGGGGCCGCCUGCACAGACCUGCCUUACGACUAUGAGUGCACCUGCUAUAGCGGGAUAUACUGACAAGAUCUGCCAAACCAACAUCGAUGAAUGCGUCGAUAACCAGUGCGUCAAUGGUGCAACCUGCUUGGAUCUUGUCAAUGGCUACGAUUGUAACUGUGAAGGUACAGGUAAAGUAUGCAGCAUUUCUUUCAGGGACUUGAACAAUUUAAUAUAUAAUUCAGAUUUUUACACCUUUUUUUUGUGUGUGUGUUCUUUCAAUUCGUCACUCGUCAAAUUUAAAUAACUAAAAUUUGUUAAUGAACAUCAUGAAGCAAUUUAAACAUGACUGGAUUAAAGGAAGAGUGCUAAAAACAAGUAUCCAAAAAUGAAUGAAUUCACAUAUGGAGAUGGUAUAAUCAGUUAAACCAAUGGUACAGAGCGGGGGGUGGGGAUCUGGACAUUAAACCAGUGUUUUCUAAUUUUCCUUUUUUUCUCUUUUAUAUUUGAUCACAGAUGCAGUUUGUAUUUUUUUUUUCUUAUUUAUUGUCAAAUAUUAGUAUGACGAGGAGAAGAAACUGGUUCAGAUUUGCCAAGAGGAAAAGGGAGAGUUCCUGAAACAGCAAAUAUUUACUGGACAGAAGUCGUGGAUAGAUAUCCCGAGAAAGUUCAUAAUUAUACGAAAUAUAUCUUCUUGUUAUUCCCUUUCUACAUGUAUUACGUUCUCAUUUUCUUCUACAUUUUCCUAAUUCACUAGCCUCUUCCAAUCUCACAAUCUGUAGUAAAUCUCCUCCUUAUUCUCUCUUCCAUUUCUUUUUCUCCACUUUCUUCACAUUUUCUUGCUUUAUUCCUAAAACAAAACUCUCUCAGAAAAAAAUGUGUGAUACACCUCCUUUGGAAAUAAAAUAAAAUAAAUUAACAAAGAG
This 5319-nucleotide long non-coding RNA is filed under the name Strongylocentrotus purpuratus (purple sea urchin). Its description in RNAcentral is "uncharacterized LOC115929169". The record is from RNAcentral. Lineage: Eukaryota; Metazoa; Echinodermata; Echinoidea; Camarodonta; Strongylocentrotidae.